RNAcentral lists this ribosomal RNA (464 nucleotides) under uncultured bacterium. RNAcentral's name for it is "partial 16S ribosomal RNA". It matches the Rfam family "Bacterial small subunit ribosomal RNA", at positions 339 to 795 of the family's 1533-position model. The record is from RNAcentral.
CUACGGGUGGCUCCAGUGAGGAAUUUUGCGCAAUGGGGGAAACCCUGACGCAGCAACGCCGCGUGAGCGAAGAAGGCCUUCGGGUCGUAAAGCUCUGUCAAGUGGGAAAAAAAUUCUUUGAUGAACAGUCAAAGGACUUGAUGGUACCACUGGAGGAAGCACCGGCUAACUCCGUGCCAGCAGCCGCGGUAAUACGGAGGGUGCAAGCGUUGUUCGGAUUUACUGGGCGUAAAGAGCGUGUAGGCGGUUUAGCAAGUCAGAUGUGAAAGCCCUGGGCUCAACCCGGGAAGUGCAUUUGAAACUGCUUCACUAGAGUAUGGGAGAGGAGAUUGGAAUUCCUGGUGUAGAGGUGAAAUUCGUAGAUAUCAGGAGGAACACCCGUGGCGAAGGCGAUUCUCUGGACCAAUACUGACGCUGAGACGCGAAAGCGUGGGGAGCAAACAGGAUUAGAUACCCUAGUAGUC